CGGACCCCACUGCUAUCGGGAUAGGACUAAGACAUGCUAGUCGAGCGCCUCCCAGCCACGACGGAGGCGCGGCGUACAGCUCAGUAACACGUGGCUAACCUGCCCUCGGGACGGGAAUACCCCCGGGAAACUGGGGCUAAUCCUCGAUAGGUGAAGAACUCUGGAAUGAGUCUCCGCCCAAAAGACGCUUAAAUCAUGCUUUUAGGCGCCGCCCAAGGAUGGGGCCGCGACCGAUCAGGUUGUUGGUGAGGCAACGGCUCACCAAGCCUUUAACCGGUGCGGGCCGUGAGAGCGGGAGCCCGGAGAUGGGCACUGAGACAAGGGCCCAGGCCCUACGGGGCGCAGCAGUCGCGAAAACUUUGCAAUACACGAAAGUGUGACAGGGCUAUCCCGAGUGCCAUCCGCUGAGGAAGGCUUUUACCCAGUAUAGAAAGCUGGGAGAAUAAGGAGAGGGCAAGACUGGUGUCAGCCGCCGCGGUAAUACCAGCUCUCCGAGUGGUGUGGAUGUUUAUUGGGCCUAAAGCAUCCGUAGCUGGCCAAGUUAGUCCCCUGUUAAAUCCACCGAAUUAAUCGUUGGAGUGCGGGGGAUACUGCUCGGCUAGGGGACGAGAGAGGCCGACGGUAUUUUCGGGGUAGGGGUGAAAUCCUAUAAUCCCGGGAGGACCACCAGUGGCGAAGGCUGUCGGCUAGAACGCGCCCGACGGUGAGGGAUGAAAGCUGGGGGAGCGAACCGGAUUAGAUACCCGGGUAGUCCCAGCUGUAAACGAUGCAGGCUAGGUGUUUGGGCGGCCACGGGCCGCUCUAGUGCCGCAGGGAAGCCGUUAAGCCUGCCGCCUGGGGAGUACGGUCGCAAGGCUGAAACUUAAAGGAAUUGGCGGGGGAGCACCACAAGGGGUGAAGCUUGCGGUUUAAUUGGAGUCAACGCCGGG
RNAcentral lists this ribosomal RNA (929 nucleotides) under uncultured archaeon. RNAcentral describes it as "bacterial SSU rRNA". It matches the Rfam family "Archaeal small subunit ribosomal RNA", at positions 18 to 922 of the family's 1478-position model. The record is from RNAcentral.